UGAGAGCGGCGGACGGGUGAGUAAUGCCUAGGAAUCUGCCUGGUAGUGGGGGAUAACGUCCGGAAACGGACGCUAAUACCGCAUACGUCCUACGGGAGAAAGCAGGGGACCUUCGGGCCUUGCGCUAUCAGAUGAGCCUAGGUCGGAUUAGCUAGUUGGUGAGGUAAUGGCUCACCAAGGCGACGAUCCGUAACUGGUCUGAGAGGAUGAUCAGUCACACUGGAACUGAGACACGGUCCAGACUCCUACGGGAGGCAGCAGUGGGGAAUAUUGGACAAUGGGCGAAAGCCUGAUCCAGCCAUGCCGCGUGUGUGAAGAAGGUCUUCGGAUUGUAAAGCACUUUAAGUUGGGAGGAAGGGCAGUUGCCUAAUACGUAACUGUUUUGACGUUACCGACAGAAUAAGCACCGGCUAACUCUGUGCCAGCAGCCGCGGUAAUACAGAGGGUGCAAGCGUUAAUCGGAAUUACUGGGCGUAAAGCGCGCGUAGGUGGUUUGUUAAGUUGGAUGUGAAAUCCCCGGGCUCAACCUGGGAACUGCAUUCAAAACUGACUGACUAGAGUAUGGUAGAGGGUGGUGGAAUUUCCUGUGUAGCGGUGAAAUGCGUAGAUAUAGGAAGGAACACCAGUGGCGAAGGCGACCACCUGGACUGAUACUGACACUGAGGUGCGAAAGCGUGGGGAGCAAACAGGAUUAGAUACCCUGGUAGUCCACGCCGUAAACGAUGUCAACUAGCCGUUGGAAGCCUUGA
This 749-nucleotide ribosomal RNA is filed under the name Pseudomonas sp. RNAcentral's name for it is "bacterial SSU rRNA". It matches the Rfam family "Bacterial small subunit ribosomal RNA", at positions 90 to 835 of the family's 1533-position model. Lineage: Bacteria; Pseudomonadati; Pseudomonadota; Gammaproteobacteria; Pseudomonadales; Pseudomonadaceae. The record is from RNAcentral.